AUGAACGCUGGCGGCGUGCCUAAUACAUGCAAGUCGAGCGAACAGACGAGGAACUUGCUCCUCUGACGUUAGCGGCGGACGGGUGAGUAACCCGUGGAUAACCUACCUAUAAGACUGGGAUAACUUCGGGAAACCGGAGCUAAUACCGGAUAAUAUAUUGAACCGCAUGGUUCAAUAGUGAAAGUCGGUUUUGUUGUCACUUAUAGAUGGAUCCGCGCCGCAUUAGCUAGUUGGUAAGGUAACGGCUUACCAAGGCAACGAUGCGUAGCCGACCUGAGAGGGGGAUCGGCCACACUGGAACUGAGACACGGUCCAGACUCCUACGGGAGGCAGCAGUAGGGAAUCGUCCGUAAUGGGCGAAAGCCUGACGGAGCAACGCCGCGUGAGUGAUGAAGGUCUUCGGAGCGUAAAACUCUGUUAUGAGGGAAGAAUAAAUGUGUAAGUAACUAUGCACGUCGUGACGGUACCUAAUCAGAAAGCCACGGCUAACUACGUG
RNAcentral lists this ribosomal RNA (496 nucleotides) under uncultured bacterium. Its description in RNAcentral is "partial 16S ribosomal RNA". It matches the Rfam family "Bacterial small subunit ribosomal RNA", at positions 29 to 507 of the family's 1533-position model. The record is from RNAcentral.